ACUGUUGGGACCGCCUCUGCUAAAGAGGAGGAAGGAAUGGGCAACGGUAGGUCAGCAUGCCCCGAAUUAUCUGGGCUACACGCGGGCUACAAUGGGUGGGACAAUGGGUAUCGACACCGAAAGGUGAAGGCAAUCUCCUAAACCCAUCCGUAGUUCGGAUUGUGGGCUGCAACUCGCCCACAUGAAGCUGGAAUCUGUAGUAAUCGUGUCUCAAAAUGGCACGGUGAAUAUGUCCCUGCUCCUU
This 244-nucleotide ribosomal RNA is filed under the name uncultured Methanomicrobiales archaeon. RNAcentral's name for it is "partial 16S ribosomal RNA". It matches the Rfam family "Archaeal small subunit ribosomal RNA", at positions 1095 to 1338 of the family's 1478-position model. Lineage: Archaea; Methanobacteriati; Methanobacteriota; Methanomicrobia; Methanomicrobiales. The record is from RNAcentral.